GACGAACGCUGGCGGCGUGGAUUAGGCAUGCAAGUCGAACGGUAUCAUCCUUUCGGGGGUGAGAGAGUGGCGAACUGGUGAGUAACACGUAGGUUAUCUACCCUCAAGACGGGGACAACCCAGGGAAACUUGGGCUAAUACCGGAUGUGAGCAACUUUUAGUUGUUUGAAAGGUGGCGUAAGCUGUCGCUUGGGAUGGGCCCGCGUCCCAUUGGCUAGUUGGUGAGGUAACGGCUCACCAAGGCGACGAUGGGUAGCCGGCCUGAGAGGGUGGACGGCCACACUGGGACUGAGACACGGCCCAGACUCCUACGGGAGGCAGCAGUAGGGAAUAUUGCGCAAUGGACGGAAGUCUGACGCAGCGACGCCGCGUGAGCGAUGAAGGUCUUCGGAUCGUAAAGCUCUGUCCUUGGGGAAGAAGGUCUUCGGACUUGACGGUACCCAAGAAGAAAGCCCGGCUAACUACGUG
RNAcentral lists this ribosomal RNA (468 nucleotides) under uncultured bacterium. Its description in RNAcentral is "bacterial SSU rRNA". It matches the Rfam family "Bacterial small subunit ribosomal RNA", at positions 28 to 507 of the family's 1533-position model. The record is from RNAcentral.